GACGAACGCUGGCGGCGUGCUUAACACAUGCAAGUCGAACGGAAAGGCCCUGCUUUUGUGGGGUGCUCGAGUGGCGAACGGGUGAGUAACACGUGAGUAACCUGCCCUUGACUUUGGGAUAACUUCAGGAAACUGGGGCUAAUACCGGAUAGGAGCUCCUGCUGCAUGUUGGGGGUUGGAAAGUUUCGGCGGUUGGGGAUGGACUCGCGGCUUAUCAGCUUGUUGGUGGGGUAGUGGCUUACCAACGCUUUGACGGGUAGCCGGCCUGAGAGGGUGACCGGCCACAUUGGGACUGAGAUACGGCCCAGACUCCUACGGGAGGCAGCAGUGGGGAAUAUUGCACAAUGGGCGGAAGCCUGAUGCAGCAACGCCGCGUGCGGGAUGACGGCCUUCGGGUUGUAAACCGCUUUCGCCUGUGACGAAGCGUGAGUGACGGUAAUGGGUAAAGAAGCACCGGCUAACUACGUG
This 468-nucleotide ribosomal RNA is filed under the name uncultured bacterium. RNAcentral's name for it is "partial 16S ribosomal RNA". It matches the Rfam family "Bacterial small subunit ribosomal RNA", at positions 28 to 507 of the family's 1533-position model. The record is from RNAcentral.